AAUGGGCGAAAGCCUGAUGCAGCAACGCCGCGUGAGUGAUGAAGGCCUUCGGGUCGUAAAACUCUGUCCUCAAGGAAGAUAAUGACGGUACUUGAGGAGGAAGCCCCGGCUAACUACGUGCCAGCAGCCGCGGUAAUACGUAGGGGGCUAGCGUUAUCCGGANUUACGGGGCGUAAAGGGUGCGUAGGUGGUUUUUUAAGUCAGGAGUGAAAGGNUACGGCUCAACCGUAGUAAGCUCUUGAAACUGGAAAACUUGAGUGCAGGAGAGGAAAGUGGAAUUCCUAGUGUAGCGGUGAAAUGCGUAGAUAUUAGGAGGAACACCGGUGGCGAAGGCGGCUCUCUGGACCGAUACUGACGCUGAGACGCGAAAGCGUGGGUAGCAAA
RNAcentral lists this ribosomal RNA (384 nucleotides) under uncultured bacterium. RNAcentral describes it as "bacterial SSU rRNA". It matches the Rfam family "Bacterial small subunit ribosomal RNA", at positions 370 to 772 of the family's 1533-position model. The record is from RNAcentral.